This 325-nucleotide ribosomal RNA is filed under the name uncultured eukaryote. RNAcentral's name for it is "partial 18S ribosomal RNA". It matches the Rfam family "Eukaryotic small subunit ribosomal RNA", at positions 1470 to 1796 of the family's 1831-position model. The record is from RNAcentral.
CCCUUAGAUGUUCUGGGCCGCACGCGCGCUACACUGAUGCAUUCAACGAGUCUAAAACCUGGUCUGAGAGGGCUGGGUAAUCUUUUGAAAGUGCAUCGUGAUUGGGAUAGAUGAUUGCAAUUCUUCAUCUUCAACGAGGAAUGCCUAGUAAACGCAAGUCAUCAGCUUGCAUUGAUUACGUCCCUGCCCUUUGUACACACCGCCCGUCGCACCUACCGAUUGAAUGUUUCGGUGAAGAUUCCGGAUAGGACUUUUUUGAUUUAUUUCAAUUUUGUCUUAAAAGCUAUCUAAACCUCAACAUUUAGAGGAAGGUGAAGUCGUAACA